Molecule: ribosomal RNA, 492 nt
Filed under: uncultured bacterium
Lineage: Bacteria
Description: partial 16S ribosomal RNA
Rfam family: Bacterial small subunit ribosomal RNA
Source: RNAcentral
AGUGAACGCUGGCGGUAGGCCUAACACAUGCAAGUCGAACGGCAGCACAGUAAGAGCUUGCUCUUACGGGUGGCGAGUGGCGGACGGGUGAGGAAUACAUCGGAAUCUACUUUUUCGUGGGGGAUAACGUAGGGAAACUUACGCUAAUACCGCAUACGACCUACGGGUGAAAGCAGGGGAUCUUCGGACCUUGCGCGAUUGAAUGAGCCGAUGUCGGAUUAGCUAGUUGGCGGGGUAAAGGCCCACCAAGGCGACGAUCCGUAGCUGGUCUGAGAGGAUGAUCAGCCACACUGGAACUGAGACACGGUCCAGAAUCCUACGGGAGGCAGCAGUGGGGAAUAUUGGACAAUGGGCGCAAGCCUGAUCCAGCCAUACCGCGUGGGUGAAGAAGGCCUUCGGGUUGUAAAGCCCUUUUGUUGGGAAAGAAAAGCAGCAGGUUAAUACCCCGCUGUUCUGACGGUACCCAAAGAAUAAGCACCGGCUAACUUUGUG